UUCAUCAACUCUCAAGGUAGUAUAAAAACACUAGAAGUAAAAAAUACAUUCAAGGUAGUACAAAGAACACUAGAAGUAAAAAAUACAUCUAGGUCCGUAGACCACCUAGCGACGACUACUAGGACUGGAGUGAGCCGAGGGCACGCCGCCAUCUUCGUCCCUCCGUCAUCGGAGUCGGGCAAACCUUAUUGUAGUAAACAGUCGGGAAGUCGUCGUGCUAAGGCCCCAUAAGACGAGCGCACCAGAAAAAACAUCCGCCUCCGAUGAAGAUAAGCAUAGAUCAGAAGAAUGGAACCUAUAGACACACGAACAUAGACGAACAAAGACAAGAUCCACGUGAAUCCACCGAAGACAAAGGCCGACCGAAUCCCGCAAGAUCCGCCAGAGACAAUCCUCCACAUGCCCUCCGACGAAGCUAGAAACACCACCGGGAUGGGGACAAGGCGGGACGAACCUUAUUCCAUCUGCAGAGAGUCGCCGCCGCCUCGACUCUCUGAGCAGGAUACAAACCCUAACAAAACUCAAAAGAGUAUGAAAAAAUGGAGCCCUCCCGCCGGCAAGGGCGGGAUCCACCACGCCUUCAUGGCCCUAAGACCACAGAAGACGAGAUAGACCGACGGCCAUGGGCGGAUUUGGGCCCCAGGCAGCCCAGGCCAUUGCCUGGGCCGUGGGAAAAAUUGUCGGCCUAUAUUUCCAAAAAAAAAAGUUUGGCCUGGGGCGCAGCCCAGUACCAAGCCCAGGCCAACUGGCCCUGCCGCCCAGGCCAAGUCACACGCAGGCCGCAGCAUCUCGCAUCGCAACCAGGCACAGCCAGCGCUCUGCCCCCGACCUGAGUACCUGACGAACCCUAAGCCAUCGCCGGUCGCCGCCCGGCGCCCGCCGUCGCCGGUCGCCACCAAUCGUCGAGGUCCAGCUCCGUGCACCCCGGAUCUCCCUUUCCAGCACCCCCCGGAUCUCCCCCUUCCAGCGCCCACCCCCUCCCCCCGGCUGCACCGCUGUGGCCUGCGGCCUACGGCUGCUGUCCUGUUCGUCGUGUCCGGCGACGCGGCGAGGGCGCAAGGCGGCGAACCCGGCUAGGGCGCGAGUGGUGCGAGGCUGCAGCCUGCAGGCAGCUCGGCGUCCAGCGAGAUGCCAUCUAUUGUUUAUAGAUGCCAUCUUAGUACGGCGAACCCGAUUUCAAGGUUAUCGCACACGUAAAGGUGUUUUGACUCGUCCUACACGUUUAGCGAUGUCUGCUAUUGAAGAUGUACUCAUGGGAGGCUCGGAUCAACCAAUCAUUUGAUUUGGCAACUAUCUUCGUCGGGACAAUUGUCGCCGUAAAUAAACCGUGAACUGAAGUACGGAAAACGUGUGCAUGCUUGAUUUGUUGGGUUAGGUACAUAAUCAUCAUAUAGAUUGUUCGAUUUCCCAAGAAAUGAGCGAAGUUGGAAAAAGUGUACCACUGGGAAUGAAGGUUUGGCCAGCUCUCUGGGAGUAACUUCAAGAUCACCAAGAUUAUGUAAUCAUAUUGUUGGCUCAUUGAAAAGUUUAAUGUCGCCUUCUACAUGCAUUUUGACAUAACUGUUGCUAAAAUUUUGAAUAUUUCAAUAUAAUCACAAUGAUUCUAGACGA
Long non-coding RNA from Triticum dicoccoides, 1611 nucleotides. RefSeq lists it as uncharacterized. NCBI's taxonomy places the organism in Eukaryota, Viridiplantae, Streptophyta, Magnoliopsida, Poales, Poaceae. The transcript has 4 exons. The record is from RefSeq and is a predicted model, not a curated record.